AAGAAGAAGGCGCGAGAGGCUCUAAAACAGCUUGACAACCAGCUUCAAAGCCUCAUCACCAGAACUCCACCACCAAACGUAGGGAGGGUAUCUUCUUCUCGGCUGAGUAACUUGGAUUCCAAGGCCGACAUAGCUAGAGAUAUGAUGAGGGAACCACCACCAGAGUAUUCUGAUUCCUUUUUUGCGUACUCCGCGUUUGCUCUCCUAAUUAUCUCAGUUUUGUACAAUAUAUUGUUCCUUACAGUGAUUAAACCAUCUGUCGAUGGUCCAGCACCAGCUGCAUAUACUUAUAGUAACACUAAUAAUCAAGCUGUAAAAGAAGCUCCAAGUGAGAACGGAGCAGAUUCACCACCAGUUGCUAACCCGGAGUGAGAUGAUAAUUUCACCCCCAUUGUUAAUUGAUAUAAGGCCACGGAUUGCUACGUCGUUGUCAUUUCGUUCUUGCUUAUCCCCGACACCGAGUACCCGAUUUGACUGAAACUAGACUCUCCAUGUACGGCACCAUCUGGACCAUGCACUUCUUGUACCUGUACUUUCUUAUGUUCCGAUGUCUUUCCUUUUCUUCCAAGCAUCUCUUCUUACAUUCAUAACAAUAAGAUGGAUGCAUAUCACCAUCUAAUCGAACAUGUAAUAGGGUUUCACGAUUCUGUAAAGACACCGCGCUUCUUAAGUAGCGAUAGGAUGGAAUAUCCAGUUUCGUCA
This is a long non-coding RNA of Papaver somniferum (opium poppy), 702 nucleotides long. RefSeq lists it as uncharacterized. NCBI's taxonomy places the organism in Eukaryota, Viridiplantae, Streptophyta, Magnoliopsida, Ranunculales, Papaveraceae. The record is from RefSeq and is a predicted model, not a curated record. The transcript has 2 exons.